Molecule: ribosomal RNA, 538 nt
Filed under: Alternaria tenuissima
Lineage: Eukaryota; Fungi; Ascomycota; Dothideomycetes; Pleosporales; Pleosporaceae
Description: eukaryotic LSU rRNA
Rfam family: 5.8S ribosomal RNA (bases 163-316)
Source: RNAcentral
GGUCAAUUGAGGCGGGCUGGACCUCUCGGGGUUACAGCCUUGCUGAAUUAUUCACCCUUGUCUUUUGCGUACUUCUUGUUUCCUUGGUGGGUUCGCCCACCACUAGGACAAACAUAAACCUUUUGUAAUUGCAAUCAGCGUCAGUAACAAAUUAAUAAUUACAACUUUCAACAACGGAUCUCUUGGUUCUGGCAUCGAUGAAGAACGCAGCGAAAUGCGAUAAGUAGUGUGAAUUGCAGAAUUCAGUGAAUCAUCGAAUCUUUGAACGCACAUUGCGCCCUUUGGUAUUCCAAAGGGCAUGCCUGUUCGAGCGUCAUUUGUACCCUCAAGCUUUGCUUGGUGUUGGGCGUCUUGUCUCUAGCUUUGCUGGAGACUCGCCUUAAAGUAAUUGGCAGCCGGCCUACUGGUUUCGGAGCGCAGCACAAGUCGCACUCUCUAUCAGCAAAGGUCUAGCAUCCAUUAAGCCUUUUUUUCAACUUUUGACCUCGGAUCAGGUAGGGAUACCCGCUGAACUUAAGCAUAUCAAUAAGCGGAGGAA